UACGGAGGGUGCAAGCGUUAUCCGGAAUCACUGGGUUUAAAGGGUGCGUAGGUGGACUAGUAAGUCAGAGGUGAAAUCCCGUCGCUUAACGACGGAACUGCCUUUGAUACUGCUUGUCUUGAAUCAGGUUGAGGUAUGCGGAAUGUGGCAUGUAGCGGUGAAAUGCGUAGAUAUGCCAUAGAACACCGAUUGCGAAGGCAGCAUACUGGCCCUGUAUUGACACUGAGGCACGAAAGCGUGGGGAGCGAAC
This 250-nucleotide ribosomal RNA is filed under the name uncultured bacterium. Its description in RNAcentral is "partial 16S ribosomal RNA". It matches the Rfam family "Bacterial small subunit ribosomal RNA", at positions 524 to 773 of the family's 1533-position model. The record is from RNAcentral.